Molecule: ribosomal RNA, 466 nt
Filed under: uncultured bacterium
Lineage: Bacteria
Description: bacterial SSU rRNA
Rfam family: Bacterial small subunit ribosomal RNA
Source: RNAcentral
UGGGGAAUUUUGGACAAUGGGCGCAAGCCUGAUCCAGCCAUGCCGCGUGUAGGAAGAAGGCGUUAUGCGUUGUAAACUGCUUUUGCCAGGGGAUAAAAAGACCGUGCGCGGUUAAUUGAAGGUACCUGGUGAAUAAGCCACGGCUAACUACGUGCCAGCAGCCGCGGUAAUACGUAGGUGGCAAGCGUUGUCCGGAUUUAUUGGGUUUAAAGGGUGCGUAGGUGGCCCUGUAAGUCAGUGGUGAAAUAUCUCAGCUUAACUGAGAGGGUGCUAUUGAUACUGCAGGGCUUGAGUACAGAUGAGGUAGGCGGAAUUGACGGUGUAGCGGUGAAAUGCAUAGAUAUCGUCAAGAACACCGAUAGCGAAGGCAGCUUACCAAGCUGUAACUGACACUGAGGCACGAAAGUGUGGGGAUCAAACAGGAUUAGAUACCCAAGUAGUCCCUGAGCGGGCUGGCAAGGCGCAU